UCUCUCUACUUGAUCCAUGGACCCCAAUAUAAACUCAAAAUUAUUUUUCUAAACAAGCCCAGCAUCACUUCGAUAUUCAUACAAGAUGUCGAAUCCCAUCCUGACCAUGUCAAAUAUCUUUAAAAUUCUUAAUUGAUGAAUCAUGUUGAUUGAUGUUAGCCUUAAUUUCAGUCCAUACUUCAUGAUUUCCUGAUUGAGUCAUCUAGAUUUGAUCCUUGUCUAGAAAAUCUUGAAUUAUCCCAACAUCCAAACUGCUUGUCGAAUUGACCACCC
Molecule: long non-coding RNA, 273 nt
Filed under: Elaeis guineensis (African oil palm)
Lineage: Eukaryota; Viridiplantae; Streptophyta; Magnoliopsida; Arecales; Arecaceae
Description: long non-coding RNA (EGUI_LNC055591)
Source: RNAcentral